This 298-nucleotide ribosomal RNA is filed under the name Dares philippinensis. RNAcentral's name for it is "partial 12S ribosomal RNA". Lineage: Eukaryota; Metazoa; Arthropoda; Insecta; Phasmatodea; Heteropterygidae. The record is from RNAcentral.
UCUAUUUAGAGGAAUUUGCCCCUUAAUCGAUAGUCCCCGUUUUAUCUUACUUGUAAUUUGUUUUCAGUAUGUAUAUCGCCGUUAUAAGUUUAUUUUUUUAGGAUUUAUAAUUUACUUUAAAUUUUAUUUUAUGGUAUUUCAGGUCAAGGUGCAGUUAAUAUUUAAGUGGAGGUGAAUUACAAUAUUAUUUAAAUAAAUGGAUUUUUUUUUAAAGAUGAUAAUGAAAGUGGAUUUGAUAGUAAUUUUGUUAAUAUAGGCAUUUUGAUUUUAGCUCUAAAAUAAGUACACAUCGCCCGUC